This 1373-nucleotide ribosomal RNA is filed under the name uncultured bacterium. RNAcentral's name for it is "bacterial SSU rRNA". It matches the Rfam family "Bacterial small subunit ribosomal RNA", at positions 28 to 1381 of the family's 1533-position model. The record is from RNAcentral.
GAUGAACGCUGGCGGCGUGCCUAAUACAUGCAAGUCGAGCGAACGGACGAGAAGCUUGCUUCUCUGAUGUUAGCGGCGGACGGGUGAGUAACACGUGGAUAACCUACCUAUAAGACUGGGAUAACUUCGGGAAACCGGAGCUAAUACCGGAUAAUAUUUUGAACCGCAUGGUUCAAAAGUGAAAGACGGUCUUGCUGUCACUUAUAGAUGGAUCCGCGCUGCAUUAGCUAGUUGGUAAGGUAACGGCUUACCAAGGCAACGAUGCAUAGCCGACCUGAGAGGGUGAUCGGCCACACUGGAACUGAGACACGGUCCAGACUCCUACGGGAGGCAGCAGUAGGGAAUCUUCCGCAAUGGGCGAAAGCCUGACGGAGCAACGCCGCGUGAGUGAUGAAGGUCUUCGGAUCGUAAAACUCCGUUAUUAGGGAAGAACAUAUGUGUAAGUAACUGUGCACAUCUUGACGGUACCUAAUCAGAAAGCCACGGCUAACUACGUGCCAGCAGCCGCGGUAAUACGUAGGUGGCAAGCGUUAUCCGGAAUUAUUGGGCGUAAAGCGCGCGUAGGCGGUUUUUUAAGUCUGAUGUGAAAGCCCACGGCUCAACCGUGGAGGGUCAUUGGAAACUGGAAAACUUGAGUGCAGAAGAGGAAAGUGGAAUUCCAUGUGUAGCGGUGAAAUGCGCAGAGAUAUGGAGGAACACCAGUGGCGAAGGCGACUUUCUGGUCUGUAACUGACGCUGAUGUGCGAAAGCGUGGGGAUCAAACAGGAUUAGAUACCCUGGUAGUCCACGCCGUAAACGAUGAGUGCUAAGUGUUAGGGGGUUUCCGCCCCUUAGUGCUGCAGCUAACGCAUUAAGCACUCCGCCUGGGGAGUACGACCGCAAGGUUGAAACUCAAAGGAAUUGACGGGGACCCGCACAAGCGGUGGAGCAUGUGGUUUAAUUCGAAGCAACGCGAAGAACCUUACCAAAUCUUGACAUCCUUUGACAACUCUAGAGAUAGAGCCUUCCCCUUCGGGGGGGCAAAGUGACAGGUGGUGCAUGGUUGUCGUCAGCUCGUGUCGUGAGAUGUUGGGUUAAGUCCCGCAACGAGCGCAACCCUUAAGCUUAGUUGCCAUCAUUAAGUUGGGCACUCUAAGUUGACUGCCGGUGACAAACCGGAGGAAGGUGGGGAUGACGUCAAAUCAUCAUGCCCCUUAUGAUUUGGGCUACACACGUGCUACAAUGGACAAUACAAAGGGCAGCGAAACCGCGAGGUCAAGCAAAUCCCAUAAAGUUGUUCUCAGUUCGGAUUGUAGUCUGCAACUCGACUACAUGAAGCUGGAAUCGCUAGUAAUCGUAGAUCAGCAUGCUACGGUGAAUACGUUCCCGGGUCU